UGGCGAACGGGUGAGUAACGCGUGGGGAACCUGCCUCAAAGAGGGGGACAACAGUUGGAAACGACUGCUAAUACCGCAUAAGCCCACGACCCGGCAUCGGGUAGAGGGAAAAGGAGCAAUCCGCUUUGAGAUGGCCUCGCGUCCGAUUAGCUAGUUGGUGAGGUAACGGCCCACCAAGGCGACGAUCGGUAGCCGGACUGAGAGGUUGAACGGCCACAUUGGGACUGAGACACGGCCCAG
This 240-nucleotide ribosomal RNA is filed under the name uncultured bacterium. RNAcentral describes it as "partial 16S ribosomal RNA". It matches the Rfam family "Bacterial small subunit ribosomal RNA", at positions 96 to 334 of the family's 1533-position model. The record is from RNAcentral.